RNAcentral lists this long non-coding RNA (30114 nucleotides) under Lactuca sativa (garden lettuce). RNAcentral's name for it is "long non-coding RNA (LSAT_LNC001520)". Lineage: Eukaryota; Viridiplantae; Streptophyta; Magnoliopsida; Asterales; Asteraceae. The record is from RNAcentral.
CUGGAAUUGGACUAGGAACAUUACCCUAAGAUGUUUUUGGACUUAUAAACUUGUUUUUGAUGUGGUAAUGUUCAUGCUAAUCCAAUUUCAAAGAUAAUUGUCAAUAGAUUCAUGUUUUGUAUUAGUUUAAGGUUUAGACUAAUUACAUGAAAAAGUUUGAUUUGAAUUAUCUUGUUCUUAUGAGUUGCUUAGAUUAAUAGAAAAGUUAAUUGAUUAUGUGUUUUCAAUCCAAAUUAAUCUAAGAGUUGAUUCUAAAAUGUGUUUUUGUAACUUGUCCUCAAGUUAUAUGAAAAGUCACAUUUAAGUUUCAUAAAACUCAUAAAAGUUGGCAAUGGUUACAAAAGAUGAAGAGUCUUGUCCUUAAGUUAUGGAGGUUCAAGAGUCACUUCAUUAAGUAAUAAAAUGUGUAACCUUAAUUAAUUCCAUAAGUUACAAAAUAAAGAAAAGUUACAUUCUUUUAUUAGUUUAAAGUCUUCCAUAACUUGUCCUCAAGUUAUGGAACUUGAAGAGUUUUUAAUUAAAACUACUUUAAACACAUAAGUUAUGGAAUUAAUUAGUUUUGAAUAGUUUCAAAACUUUCCCUCAAGUUUUGGAAUUUGAAAAGUUUUCACUUAUGAAUACUUUAAUUCCAAGUUAGCCCUUAGAAUUUUAAAAGUUAAAAUUCAACCCUUAUACUUUAUAAUAUUAUAAGUUAAUAAUAUAUAUAUAUAUAAGAGUAAAGUCAGUCUUACCGCUAGUACGCCUCAUUCACGAAGCCGGUCUAUAAGGUGGGUAUAAGGUUGUUGCCUAUAAAAUGGCAACUUAAUGGGUGUCCACUCUCACCCACCGCUUGCUUGACUGGUGGAGGGUCGUUAGCCGAACGGGUUUGACAGGACUAGAAUUCUCCCUUCAUUAAAAGUAUUAAUGAUAAAUACUAAGUAACUAAACUCUUAAUAAUACCCAAUCUUAGUUACUUAGGAAAAUGUGAAUAAGGUGCUAAUCCAUGAAAUUACACUUUGCACUUUGUUUAAGUCGGUUAGUGGAGCGUGUGUGGUUAACCGGCACACUAACUCGUAUUUAACAAGGUAGGCAAAGGGUAACUUAAUGUUUAUCAUAGUAUCGAUGGAGCGUGUGUGGUUAACCGGCACAUCGAUUAAGGGGUAAACACUUAAGGGUACCAAGUAAUUUGCAUGGUUACUUCACACCUUGUUUUGUGAUCCUCGGCAUCCCAGUCACAAAACCUGAAGGGCACACUCGAGAUUGAAACAUGCCAUUGAACAGUUCAAUGAAUCUCAAAGAUCUAGGAGUUUCAAAACCAAUUAAAACCUAAUAAUACAUUUCGUUUAUCUUGGUGGAAAUUGGUGAAUCGUCAUUCACCUACCUUCAAAUAUUUUAUAGCUUGGAUUACGGCAUACCUCUUCUAAGUUAUAAAAUAGUUUGUUGGGUCCUAGCCUUAAUAUUUCAUAUUGGGUGUCAUAUUAAGGACUUUAAAUCAACUAUCUUGAAUAUCUCCCAAAAAGAUGUCUGGUUUAGACAUUUAUGAUCUUCCCAAAUCUCUUGAAACAAGCUUUCCUAAAUGAAGAUGAUGUCCUAUGGAAAUCAUACUUCCUCCACCUCCUCCAAUUAUUCUCCCUGUCCCACAAGUUCAAGGUCACUCAAGCCCUAUUGGCAAGGCAAGGUCUAGGUGUGCUCACAUCUUGGAGAUGAAGUCACAUACUGACAAGCUGGGAGAGUUGGGUGUCAAAGUCUUGAGCAAGGUGGUGGUUCAAUCACUUUCUAAGUCACAUAGUGAGUUCCUUUGGGACUCCUAUGAAACAGUCUAUGACAAGACCCUUAAUGAUCUUAUCUAUUUGCUAAGAUCAACUUCCUAAAACUUUAUGUACAUUGACAAUGAAGACACUAGAAAUCCAGAAAAAACAUUCUCUUCCCAAUGGAAAGGGAUCGGCCAUAGUCAACUCGGUUGACCAAAUGGUAAAGAGAGAGGCUAAGUCUGAGAUAGUCCCAUUAUCAAGGGUCCAUUGCCAAAGGAAGGGGCAUUAGUUGCUAAGCUGCCAAAUUUUACCUAAGGAUGUUAAAGUCAAUAAGUUUGACUCUACUUCAGGUAAAUUCUACUAUCUAACUCUGCUAAGUUUCUAUUAUGAGAUUCUUGAUACAUGAUGUGACUGGGUCACAUGUUGAUGUUUUAAGAAUCAAAGAAAAGUGAAGAAACUUAAAGAAAGAAUAUGCUGAAUCUGAUCGCGUAGAUGGAUUUCUAUCGCAUAGUUUGAAGUUCGGAUUCUUGAGCUACUUCUUAGGAGUUAUGAUGUAUUGCUUAGCAAUAGAUAACAACAAAGUUUUCAUGUGCUUUUGCACUGUAAGGAUAGUUUUUUCUCAAAGUUUUUAAAAUAAAAGGAAAAAAAAUUGUUUAUUUUAAAAUAUCCUUACAAUGGCAUUUGUGAAAUUUUUUGUUGCUUAUAAAGAUUCCAUUAAGAGCAAGAGUGGAAAUAUGAAUUUGAUUCUUUCAUUUGUGGUAAUGUCUAAAUUUACCAAAUAAGGAAAGAUUCUCAUCACCCAAGUUUCAAUUGGACCGGAACUUGGAAUCAUGCAAGUUGUAUAGCAUGAUGAUGAGAACUUUCAAGCAUUGGAAAAAUUAAGACUAACUACUUGUUCACAUGGAUGUGUGAGUCAAAUAAAAGGAGUAAGGGAUCGAGUACACAUUCUUGUGCGCCGGUCAAGUCCACCACAAAAGAUCGAUAAGAUUAUUCGUCAUAAUUUACUAAAGCUCAGUAAAUAUGGUUAUAUCUACAAGCUUAAGUGUAAUUGGAAUAAGGUUCCAAUGUAUGACAGAGAGAAUAAGAAGAAUCAACUUAGGCAGAAGGAUAAAAGUUUCUCAAAUCUGAAAAGAUGGGAGAGUACUUUAGUAUCAGUUUUUGUGAUCAUCUUAAUGAUUAAGAAACCAUAGCACAAUUAGUUCUCUAAGGAAAUCUUAGUGCAUUCUUAUGACUAAGAAGAGGAAUAUUGAAUUGUUGAAAUGGUUAAAUCAAGAAGAUGAGUCAUACUUCGUUCCAAUACAAGUCUUAGAGUCAUACUCCAAGAUUGUAACUUGAGUGACAUGUUUCAAAAGAAGGUUUAAAACACUUGUCAAAUGUAAGAGUAAAAGUUUUCUACUCUUGUACAUUUGAAAUUGGUAAGUUGUGAUGUUUUGGAUAAAACAAAGACCAACUAAGGCCAAUUGUGUGAAGUGUUUGUCUUGAUUAGAAUCCACACUAUCUCUUGAAUAUUUGACAAGAAAGUCUUAUAUGUCAAGAGGACAGUGGGAGUCUUAAAGGUCUUGAAAGUCUCAAGAACUAAUCAAGAAUAAAACCUGAAGUUCUUCACUAGCACACGACUUGAGGUUUAUAACCUAUCGUGUUGACAUAUUCUGUGCCCAUUCCAGUUAAAGUUGGCUUUGCAUAUGAGUUCUUAGAGUUCUCAAUUUGUUGCACAACAACUUGGAAGCAAUGGCAGGCCCUUGAGCUGCCAGGUGGCAAGAAAUUAAGAUUGAGUUCAGUCCAUAUGAGUUUGGAUUUGUCAUUAUCCUGUCUUGUGACUAUGGUUUUGACAAUUCACAUGGAUAAGAACACAUACACCAUUAAAUCUAAGUGUCAUAAGGUUUCUCUUCGGUUCAUGAAAAUGAUGGUGAGGAAACACUUUCACUAAGUAAAUUUUAGCUAGAUAGCAAUUGUGUUAUUUUCAUUCUCAAAGUCGUUAGUGGAGCCUAUGUGGUUUACUGGCACACUAACAUGGACUUGUGAGAAGUGGCAAAGGUCUAAACAAUCAAGACUAUGAUUACGACAUCCCUUUUCAUAAUUCUUAAAAUUGUUUAGACAUACCUGUGAGCUAUCUAAGAUAAGGUGUAUGAUUAUGAUAAAGUUUUAUCAAAGCAAUCUAGUAUCAGAAAUCUGAACUUUGGUAAGAAAGUCAAUAAAGUAUUGAUUUCUAGAAGUCCAGCUGAUUUCUGAGUACAUGUCAAAGCUAGUGGGAGCAUAAGUGUUAUGCUAAUAAUCAUCAUGUUAGUGGGAGCAUGAUAAUUAUGAUAAGUAUUGCAAGUUAGCAAUGUUAAUUAUAGAAAACAAAAGUUUCAAUUGGGAAAAAGUUGUUUUGCUAUAAUUAAGGGAGAGGAAAUUAUGCUUCAUCUCAAAUCUAUAAGCUUAGAUCGUGAGGUUUUAAUCAUUUAGUCAAGGAUAUAUAUGAAUUUCAUGUUGGAAUGGCUCAACAUAAGGAAAUUCUGUAUAUGGGUCCAUUAUUUGCGUUCUAAAAUUCGAUUAUGAUUACGGCAUCCCUUUUCAUAAUCUGAAUUAUGAGAACUUGGCAAAUUGAAAUGGAAAUAUUAUAGCAAAAGACUGGUUUAGUCUUUAUGUAAGACAUCAUGAAUCGUGUCCCAUAUGCUUCGGAUAUAGGAUCGAUUACAUGUGCUAUAUUCAUCCGUUCUAAAAUUUUCCAAAUGCCUGGGGCAUUAAGAAGGGAAAAGGUUUAGAACUGGAUAUGACUAAAAGGAUUAAACAAUUGUCGAGGACAAUCUAAGGUUUACCAAAGAUUGGUUGCUCAAGGACAGUUGGAAGUAUAGUGAUAAUUCUGGAAGGACCAUAUUGACAUAAUCUGUAAGGAGGCAACUCUUGUUCAGAAGUGAUAGUCAAAAUGGAAUCUGGAAAUGUUUCAAAGUUAGAAUUUUCAAUCUGUGUAAGAUUAAGGAAACUUAAUGCAAGAAGGAUAUUUCCAAGGAGUUGAUCUCCUUUGGAAUACUCUGUAAUGAUUGUUGCCAAGUCUUUGUGACUUUGUGCAUAAUCAUUACAAGAGGAUCAAUGCAUAUAAGUUUAGAAUCUAACAGAUUUCAGUAAAUGGCAUGAAUUUGGAAUUCUUGCAUUUGCAGUAAGGAUUUGGGAGUGUGAAAAGAGAAUCAUUGAAGUUAUGUUCAAUUGAUCUAGUUCACAAAGUAAAGAUCAUAGACAAACAUAGUAUGCAUACUUGGUGUGUGGCAUGACUAGUGUUUAAGAAAACAUAGUGUACAUGCUUGGAGCAUGGGACAACUAUUGUUUUAAAUUCAAGAAUAAAGUUGAUAGCUGAAACAGUAUACAAUGAAUAAUGUGUAAUCAUAUGGUGAUAAAUAAAAGGUGUUUUAUUUAUGUUCAAAGGGUUGAUACCAUAUUGGAUUCAAUUAUUAUUGUGUUUCAUUUUGCAUGUUUUGACUUCCCGAAUAAACUGGGUUAUUCUUCCGGAAUGACUAAGUUAUUCAAACCAUCCACAGUCGGUCAUAUGUUGGAAGUAGAUAUGAAUUAAGACUGUCAUGGGUUGGCUUGUAGAGGUCUAAGGUGUUGGACAAAGGGCUACAACACUCAUGAGUGCUCAUAAGUUCUGAGUAUUGGAUUCAACCCGCGCUCAUUGGAAUCACUUCAUGGAUUUUAUCACGAGUGAUCAUGAGACGAUAAUAUCUUAUAUUCUUCAAACCUAGAGAUAUGAGUUGUUACUAUGAGUUGAUAGUACAUUGAUUGCACGAAAACGCAUUUGGUAACUCGGUGCUAUAAAACGUGCCUUUGUGUAUGAUUCAACAAGUAGUAGAACAAGCCAUAUGAGUCGAAGUUUAUCCAUUCCUUUUACCUUCGGGAUAAAAGCGAUAUCUGUGGGCCCCUCGAUGAUUUGAUGAUGACAAAUGGAAGUGCUCGGCCGGGCCAGGACUGAUUUGAUUUGUUCAAUUAGUCAGUCGUCAUAAAUCGGAAAUCGGGAAACAACAAAUGGACAGAGAGAAUGAUUAUAAUCCAUGUCUCAGUCCAUAUGAUAUCUAGAAUGGAGGAAUAUAUGAUCCCUUAUCUAAUGGACAAGUCAUUGACAAAGGUCAGAGUUCAUCUACAAGGUCAGAGUUCGACAGAAGCUUUUGAGAGCUACGAUUGCCAGUUGGUUCCUGAAGUCAUACGCAAUAAUAGUUUUAGACUUAUCCAAGUGGGAGACUGUUGGAUUAAUGUCUAAGUCCAUAACUAUAAUUGGUGAGACUUGACCCGACCCAGCAUGGUCCAUUUGGGUUGCAUGGCAUCAUGCAUUUGGAUAGACUAUAAUGAGAGAAAUAACACUUAAGGUUUGUUAAUAUAUUAUAAGUUCUAAUAUAUUAAUAAAAUUAUUUAAUUAGUAUUGAUCAAGAAUUAAUUUGGAAUUAAUUAAGUGAUCAAAAGGAGACUAAUUAAAUAUAUAGGUUGAUUGUGUAAAUCAUUCAUUCUUGUAUAGUGGGCUAAUGNGGAAUAAGUCCAUGGGGUGACCCAUGGAUACUCCAUGGAGAUUAAAAUCCAUGGAGCAUAUGGAAUGGGUAAAGUUAUGAGUUACAUGGUGUAACCCUAAUAGCCACCAUAUAAAAGAAUCCCAUGGCUCAAGAAAUCGGCCACUAUGUGUGAGAAUGAAGGGCUAGCCGAUUUCAUGAAGUGUGUAUGUUCUCUCAAGUCAUUCCAUGUGCAUUUGGUGUUGUGUGAACCAUUUGAGGUGUCACACUUGGGGCACUAGGCACUCAAGCUUCAUGAAGACAUUCUACAUCAAAGAGGUAUGUAAUUCUAACUUGAUAUAUUCAUUUGAAUGAAUGUUAUUAUGCUAGCUAGGAUGAAUACCUUGGCAAGUUCAUUUGCAUGUAUAAUAGAGAAAACAAAGAUCCAAGGUAUUUAGGGUUUCAUGUACACUUAGGAGUGUUAUAAUGCUCAAAACUCAUCAGGUACGUGGCAAGGUUUCCAUAUCUGAGGUACUUUCGGUCAUGAUUGUCCAGGAUAAAAUGAGCUUCAUAUUUAUUUGAGCCUUAGAGGCCAUGGUAGUUUAGAUCUAAAGGGUGCAGAUCUGUAUGAGUUUGUUGGUAUAAGGUGUCAAGACCUUGUUCAGAGUAGUCCUAGUUUGAGGCGCGAGACUCAUGAGGAAAGAGAAUGUGAUGAUCGGCUCAAGGUUUACAGCAUGUGGAUGGGUAGUUGGCUGAUGGAUUGGGAAAUCAUUCUCUACGGUGGGGUUAUUUUCUUCCAACCUCCCGUGUUCGAGGUUUGCAGCUGAAUCGGAAAUGAUUUGGCGCACUGCUCGAGCAAAUUGUUCUGCUAAAUCAGUAUCACAUCCUUCUAUGGGAAAUGGGAACAUUGGAAGUCCAGAAAAGUUUUCAACACGCAAAAGAAAGGCUAAGUCUGAGAAAGUCCCGUGUACCAUUCCAGAAGAAUCUGUAUGUUUCUACUGCCGAAAGAGGGGUCAUUGGUUACGAAGCUUCCCUAACUACCUAAGAGUUCUAAGAGAUGGGAGAGUCAAGAUGUAUGACUCUUCUUCAGGUAAAAUCCACUAUAUAACUCUAUUAAGUUCCUAUUUGGAGAUUCUAAAUACAUGAUGUGAUAAGAUUACAUUUGGUGUUUUCUAGGAUCGAAGAAAAGAGUGGAAGCUUAAAGGAAGAAGUGAAUUGAGUCUGAUCGCGAAGAAAUGGAUUUCGAUCCCAUGAUUCGAUGAACGGAUUUUUGGAGCUGCUACUUUUAGAGUUAUGAUAAAUUGCUUAGGAAUAUGUAAUAGCGUAGUUGUCAUUUGAUUUGCAUUGUAAGGACAAGUUUUUCCGCACCUUUUAUUAAUAAAAUAAAAUUUUGUUUUUGUCUUAUUUAUAUAUUUCCUUGCAAUGGCAUGAAUGAAAAAUUGACGUUUGUGUAUUUCUAGUUUUAGCAAUGUUUAAAUGGAUGUUUUAGUCACGCCGGAAGCGGGACUAAGUUCAUGGAUCACAGAUAAACUGAAUAUAUAGCACAAGUACAACGAUAAAUAAAAUAGCAUUUGUAUUCCAUCAGUAAGUUUGAAUACAGGGUUCUUACAGAUAAUAAUGGUACAGUAGUUGCCUUUAACAGAUAAGCAAAUAACAGGAACAAGCUAGCUAGGUCGUCCGCAAUCCACAACUAAUCUUCUUCCUGAAAGCCUGUCUGAUGAUCCCCUAAGAAUACAUGUAAGUUUGAAAGUCAACACAAAGGUUGGUAAGUGUCACAGGUUUUCUGCUAACACAGUAAUACUUUUAGUAAGUCUAAAAAGUAUUAUCUUUGUAUGUAUAACAACAGUUAAACAGUGUUUGCAAUGAGUCUUUAAAAGCCAAAAUGUAUAGUUUGUAUAAGUAAACCCAUACGUAAAACUGUGUUUGUAAUGAAUCUUUGAAAGCCAAAAUGUUAUGUUUCAUAAGUAAUUCNCAUUGAAGAUUGGUUGUCGAGAAUGGAUGUGAGAAAAUCGAGAUGUAUUGUCGUGAACACGGAACUCCAAGAUUAAUUUAGUUUCCUAGAAAAUUUCAAUAUAAAUUAAUAUUUGGAAAGUUAUUUGGUAUUUUAUCUAAAAUAUAAGACCCAUUUAUUAAUUUAAUUAAACUAAAACAAAUUAGUAAUUUCCAAAAAUGAGUCAAAAUAAAUUAUUUAAAUUCCAAGUUUGAUUUUGGAUUUAUUUUGUAAAGCUUUUUCCAUAUAGGGGUGGUUUUCGAACAAUUUUAUUAAAGUUAGAAGGUUUUGGACUUGAUAUGUAAAGAAAAUCCAAGAGAGGGUGAUAAGUAAUUAAUUUAAAUGAGAGUUUGAUGGGGGGUUGCUUUGUUAAAACUCUUAUAAUUUAAAGGAUUGUUUUAAUUAUUAUAACUAUGGGAAGGGAAUAAAAGCGUUUAAAAAAUAUGAAGUUUGUACAGUAACUUGCACGUUUAUGUACACAUGAGGGUAUACCUCCUGUGUUCUUCAUUUACGAUCGCAAGAAAGAAAAAAAUGCGUAGAUAAUCCUGUAACUAUUGGUAAUGCAUGAGGAUGUAAGAACCAAGCAAGAAGAUGGGAGGAGGGAUGACUUACAGAUGAAGAAUAGCAGCACAACACAUGUGGUGAUUGGUGGUUCACUGCAAUGGCAGUGGAGGUGCUCGGUGGUGAUAACAGGUAGCCGGCAGCAUCCUGCUGCCGGUUUUCCUUUCUUUUUCCGGUCAAUUCAAAGGCUGGGGGAGGUGGAGGAAGGUUGGAGAAGUUUUUCUUCGAGUUUAUAGCAGGUAAUGGUGGGGUUUUGAAGAUGGAAUAAGGCUGAUCCAGUGGUAUACCGUGAGAUAGAGAUAGAGAGUGUUUUAGAGAGAGAUAUGUAGAUCUUAGAGAUGGAGAAGAAAGCUGGAGGUUGAGGUGUGAUUUUUGGAGGUGGUCUAAGCUUCCUUUUACAGCCAAAGAAUGCCCAUACACAACACAAAUAAGCCAUACUUCCAACUCAUCAUGUACUCUCUUGGUGAAACUUGCACACCAAGAAGGAGAGGAAGAGAAGAUAUAGUCACGUGGGAUGAUACAAGCGAGGGAAAUAUCAGAUUUUUGGGAUCUUAAAUCAUAUGUGGGCCCCACAUGAGUUAUUCUCUCUUUAAUUGCCAAAAACACUGAAAACCAGGUGCCUCGGGAUCCAUGCAUUGAGAAAAUUUUUCGAGAGUACCGUUAGAUAGAGCUUAAUUCAAGGAUUUCGGAACAUCAAACGGAUUAAUUUUUGGAGUUACGGAUUUUCGAGAAAUUGCGUUUGAAGUUUUACGUCUAAACGGCUCGCGGCGUCCGUUUUCACGACUUUUGUAAAUAUUUUUGUUAAAAAUGUUUCGAGCAUGAAAUUAAAUAAUAGACUAUAACCUGAGUCCAAAAAGAUUAACAGAAAUCCCGUCGGCAAAACGUAAGUGCCUCAACGGAUCAAUUCGGUUUUAUUUGAUUAAAGAAAAAAAAAACAUUGUUUUACCGCUUGUUUUCUUAAAACUGUCGUAUCUUUUGCAUACAAACUCUGUUUUGGACGUUCUUUGUAUUUUCGGAAAUAGGUAAACACGUACUGUAGUAUUUUCAUGUUUCUUUUGCUCAAAACUGCUUAAUAUAAAAUUUCAGUUUUUCUAAUGCAUUAAUUAGCGUUGUCGUUUAAGCGGUUUGAAUCGGUUGACGGUUUACCCAUUUGGAAGUAAGGUGUCAUCUGAUAUCAUGUAAUAAUUGAAAUAUAAUUAUUUAUUUUUCAUUAGAUGCACUAAAACUCAGUAAUUCGGAUACACAAGAGAUUCACAGAUAGAUUGUCGGUUAUAAUAAUAGCCCUAAAUUUCAGGUUGUCACAUUACCUCCCUGUUAAAGGAAAUUUCGUCCUGAAAUUGAGUUGGUACUGGUAGUACAAGGGCUUUGAUAAAUAGUAAUAUAGUUUCGUGGUAUGAUCCAUGCCUGAUCCUUCUAUAUCACCUUGUGCAUACAAGUCGUAUAUAAUCAAGAUUAAGUAGACAAUCGAAUAAGUGAUUCUACUCUAAGCCCACAACCAAACAAGGAACAGGAAGUAAAGCGGAAUUACAAAUCCUAAGUCGGUAGAAUCUUAAUUAUAUAUAACCCUAACGUAUACACUUAGCAAUCAUAUAUUACCAGCAAGAGUCCUUAGUUUCUACAUGAAUGAUGUGAUUAAUUUGGGUGAGAAAGCAACUGGGGAGUACAUUUGCAAUAUCGAUAAAUAGUAAUGUACUUACGUGGUGCAUGAUCCCUGGCUGGUCCUUCUACAUUUCCUUGGUGUAUACAAGUCGUAUAUAAUCAAGAUCAAAUAGACUGUCGAAUAAGUGAUACUACCCUAAGUCCACAACCAAACAAGGAACAGGAAGUAAAGCGGAAUCACGAAUCCUAAGUCUGUAGAAUCUUAAUUAUAUACAACCCUAACGUAUUUACUUAGCAAUCGUAUAUUACUAGCAAGGGUCCUUAGUUUCUAUGUGAAUGGCAUGAUUAACUAGGGUGAUAAGGUAACUAGCAAGUACUUUUUCUGGGGACUAGCUUCAACUGAUAGGCUAAUUGCUUAGCACUAUCGAAAGUGGAGGGUUUAGAUGCCGUCACCAGACCUUGAACAGGUGAAGCUAGUCCCCAGAUGUACCUUUCGAUCUUUCCUGUCUUCCGGGGUCACCAUUCCUGGGCAAAGGUUUGCAAGGUCAUUGAAUCGAGAGGUGUAGGCAGCUACUUCUGAUCAUUUCAUGACAAGGUUGCAAAGCUCUUGCUCUAGAGCCUGUAUCUCCUGUCGGGGACAAUACUCCUUGGUCAUUAGUUGCUUCAGGGAUUCCCAGCCCAUGGCAUAAGCUUCAGCGAUUCCCAUGGACUUCGCAUGGUUAUUCCACCAAGUCAAGGCAGAGUCCAUCAACGUGCAGGUAGCGUAUUUAACCCUGUAGUCAUCAGGGAAAGCACUGAUGUGGAAGACAGCCUCAGUCUUUUCUAUCCAACGGGAUAGCCCAACAGCUCCUUUAGUGCCGUAGAAGGCUCGAGGUUUGCAGCUCAUGAAAUCCUUAUUGGAGUAGUGUCUGGUGUUACUUUGGUGAGUUGCGGGAUUGCCACUUCCACUAUUUCCAGUGUUUCCGUUUCGGGCUACCUCGUAUGCUGCCAAAGCCGUAGCAAUUCCUUGUGCGAGCAUGUUCUGCAUCAUGGUGGAAUUCAUCUGGAAUGUUUGGUUUACAUUUGUUACUUCUGGGUCUCCUCCCUGGUUUGCAGUUUCCACUAAUGUUUGAGUUACUGGUGGGGUUCUCCUUGGGUUGCCUCGGGGAGUUGGCGGUAGACGAACUCCUGGUUGCUUUCGUGGGGCCAUCUCCUAAUAUGUUUAAAACGGACAUGUUAAGUUGUGUUAAUACUAUAAAGUCCUAACAAGUAUACAUGGGAUGCAUUUGAUGAUAUAGUUUGCUUGUGAAAUCCUACAAAUUAUAAGAAAAAAAGAUUGACUAAGAAAUCCUUUAGACUUCCAAAUGAUACGGAGAAGGUGAUUGGUUUAGAAAUCCUCUAGAUUUCUAAAUGAUAGACAAGGGAUCUUAAUUGCUAAUGAAUUGUAAGUGUUUUAAAAUGUAUGUAUAGAUUCUAAGGUACUAGGUUGUUGUAGCAAAUCUGGAGAGCAUCCUACAAUCUCUAAAACCUUCAACCGUUAUAGUCUGUCAGACUCCUUGCUCAGGGUUGGUUGUGUACCGGCCUGACCAUAAAUAACAUAGGUGCACAUUCCAGAUUUAUUUAUGGUAUGACUUAUGUACGGUAUUAACCCUAAUUGAGGCGUCUGACCUAAAGGGUUGAGUUGGUAGUUUUAGUUGAAGGGAUGUUAAAAUUUUAUUAGGUGUUCUCAUCGCGGUUUAGAGUAUAUAUAAACUCUUAUAUAGUUUGGUUGGUGGGGUUUUUAGUAUUAUUAAUUUUUGUUUGUUCUUCCCGACUACCGAGCAUAGACGAUGGUCGGACAUCAAACGACGUAAGUAGUCGAGAAGUAGUGUUAUUAUUAAUAAUACUUUUAUUAAAAGCUAGUAUGCUAUAGUUGUAUUCCUCUUUCGAGGAUACAAGUUCUCUAUAGCCAAUUUGGCUCUGAUACCAUUCUGUCACACCCCCGGCCAAGUCGGAACACGCCGGAAGUGGGACUAAGUUCAUGGAUCACAGAUAAACUUAAUAUAUAGCACAAGUACAAAGAUAAACAAAAUAGCAUUUGUAUUCCAUCAGUAAGUUUGAAUACAGGGUUCUUACAGAUAAUAAUGGUACACUAGUUUCCUUUAACAGAUAAGCAAAUAACAGGAACAAGCUAGCUAGGUCGUCUGCAAUCCACGACUAAUCUUCCUCCUAAAAGCCUGUCUGAUGAUCCGGUAAGAAUACAUGUAAGUUUGAAAGUCAACACAAAGGUUGGUGAGUGUCACAGGUUUUCUGCUAACGCAGUAAUACUUUUAGUAAGUCUAAAAAGUAUUAUCUUUGUAUGUAUAACAAUAGUUAAACAGUGUUUGCAAUGAGUCCUUAAAAGCCAAAAUGUAUAGUUUGUAUAAGUAAACCCAUACGUAAAACUGUGUUUGUAAUGAAUCUUUGAAGCCAAAACGUUAUGUUCCAUAAGUAAUUCCAUACUUAAAAUUGUGUUUGAAAGCAACCAAAUCAAUGGUUGUACGGGUAACGAAGAAAGUUUUCUGCCAAGGUUGUACUUCAUAACCGUAGAUACGGAUAUACGGAUACAGUUAUCUGCCAAGUUUGAACUUAACAACCGCAGAUACGAAUAAACAACAAAUACAUUUGAUAAGCAUACACAUAAAGUGUACGAUACUAGUUUAAACAGUUGACAAAACUUAGUAUAGUGUACACAAGCACAUGUAUGAGCCUAAGAUACAAGUUCUAUAACUUGUAUAAACGUAUAAACCAAUAUAUUUUUGUCAUAAACAGACAUACAUAUAUACGGAUAAAGUUAUCUGCCAAGGUUGAACUUAACAGCCGCAGAUACGGAUAAACAUGUAAUUGACAAGUAUAUUUGAUAAGCGUACACAUUGAAGAGUAGAAUACUUGUUUUAAACAACUGAUUAAACUUUGAGUACAAGCACAUAAAUGAGCCUUAGAUACGAGUUCUAUAACUCGUAAGAAUAUAUAAACUUAUAUAUUUUUGUGUAUCUAUGAGGUAUAAUGAAACUACCAAGUUGAUAACCGGCUAUAGUGUCAUAGCACAAUUUUAGUCGGAACGUAUAUGUUAUUUUUAUUAGUUGUAUUAUCUUAACAACAUAACAUAUGUAGCUAUUGAGGUUUAAAACGAUUUUGUUUACUUAACAUGUAAGCGUUUAAAUAAUUAUUUCUAAAACCGAUAAAGUAUUUACACAAAACAAUGAUAUUUUUUUGUUUGUGAAUUUCGUAUGAUAAAUAUUACUUAGUACACGUACUAUCAUGUACAUACGAGGGCCAAACAUGAAACACCGAGGACAGUACCAUUUUGGCAUUAUAGCACUUCUGAAAUGCAGCAACCCAUUCGGCCCUUCAAACCAGAUUCCCCGUACCGUAAGUAGUAGAGUAAUAAAUAAUAUUUUUGUGUGAUUUAUAUUGCAUAAAAAAACGGUGGUGUUGUUUGUUUAAACAAAGUAUUUAGAAAAUAGAUAUAUACUAGAUAUACAAGUACUACAUGUAUUCUCAGCCGAAAAUAUGUAAAAAUGGGGCCGUAACACUCACCUUAAACUGCCAUUAAAGAUUGGUUUUCGAGAACGGAUGCGAGCAAACCGAGAUGUAUUGUCGUGAACACAGAACUCCAAGAUAAAUUUAAUUAAACUAAAACAAAUUAGUAAUUUCCAAAAAUGAGUCAAAAUAAAUUAUUUAAAUUCUAAGUUUGAUUUUGGAUUUAUUUUGUAAAGGUUUUUCCAUAUAGGGGUGGUUUUUGAACAAUUUUAUUAAAGUUAGAAGGUUUUGGACUUGAUAUGAAAAGAAAAUCCAAGAGAGGGUGAUAAGUAAUUAAUUUAAAUGAGAGUUUGAUGGGGGGCUGCUUUGUUAAAACUCUUAUAAUUUAAAGGAUUGUUUUAAUUAUUCUAACUAUGGGAAGGGACUAAAAGCGUUUAAAAAAAAUAAAGUUUGUACAGUAAGUUGCACGUUUACGUACACAUGAGGGUAUACCUCCUGUGUUCUUCAUUUACGAUCGCAAGAAAGAAGAAAAUGCGUAGAUGAUCCUGUAACUAUCGGUAAUGCAUGAGGAUGUAUGAACCAAGCAAGAAGAUGGGAGGACGGAUGACUUAGAGAUGAAGAAUAGCAGCACAACACAGGUGGUGACUGGUGGUUCACUGCAAUGACAGUGGAGGUGCUCGGUGGUGAUAACAGGUAGCCGGCAGCAUCCUGCUGCCGGUUUUCCUUUUUUUUCCAGUAAAUUUAAAGGCUGGGGGAGGUGGAGGAAGGCUGGAGAAGAGUUUCUUUGAGUUUACAGCAGGUAAUGGUGGGGUUUUGAAGACGGAAUAAGGGUGCUGCAUUGGUAUACCGUGAGAUAGAGAUAGAGAGUGUUUUAGAGAGAGAUAUGGAGAUCUUAGAGAUGGAGAAGAAAGCUGGAGGUUGAGGUGUGAUUUUUGGAGGUGGUCUAAGCUUCCUUUUAUACCCAAGAAUGCCCACACACAACACAAGUAAGCCAUACUUCCAACUCAUCAUGUACUCUCUUCGUGAAACUUGCACACAAAGAAGGAGAGGGGGAGAAGAUAUAGUCACGUGGGAUGAUACAUGGGAGGGAAAUAUCAGAUUUUUGGGCUCUUAAGUCAUAUGUGGGCCCCACAUGGGUUAUUCUCUCUUUUAAUUGCUCAAAACACUGAAAACCGGGUGCCUCGGGAUCCGUGCAUUGAGAAUAAUUUUCGAGAGUACCGUUAGAUAGAGUUUAAUUCAAGGAUUUCGGAGCAUCAAACGGAUUAAUUUUGGAGUUACGCAUUUCCAGGAAAUUGCGUUUGAAGUUUUAUGUCUAAACGGCUCGUGGUGUCCGUUUUCACGACUUUUGCAAAUAUUUUUGUUAAAAAUGUUUCGAGCAUGAAAAUAAAUAAUACACCAUAACCUGAGUCCAAAAAGGUUAACGGAAAUCCCGUCAGCAAAACGUAAGUACCUCAACGGAUCAAUUCGGUUUUAUUUGAUUAAAGAAAAAAAACAGUGUUUUACCGCUUGUUUUCUUAAAACUGUCGUAUCUUUUGCAUACAAACUCUGUUUUGGACGUUCUUUGUAUUUUUGGAAACAGGUAAACACGUACUGUAAUAUUUUCAUGUUUCUUUUGCUCAAAACUGCUUAAUAUAAAAUUUCAGUUUUUCUAAUGCAUUAAUUAGCGUUUUCGUUUAAGCAGUUUGAUUCGGUUGACGGUUUACCCAUUUGGAAGUAAGGUAUCAUCUAAUAUCAUGUAAUAAUUGAAAUAUAAUUAUUUAUUUUUCAUUAGAUGCACUAAAACUCAGUAAUUCGGAUACACAAGAGAUUCACGGAUAGAUUGUCGGUUAUAAUAAUAGCCCUAAAUUUCAGGUUGUCACAUUACCUCCCCGUUAAAGGAAAUUUCGUCCUGAAAUUGAGUUGGUAUUGGUAGUACAAGGGCUCUGAUAAAUAGUAAUAUGGUUUCGUGGUAUGAUCCAUGCCUGGUCCUUCUAUAUCACCUUGUGCAUACAAGUCGUAUAUAAUCAAGAUUGAGUAGACAAUCAAAUAAGUGAUUCUACUCUAAGCCCACAACCAAACAAGGAACAGGAAGUAAAGCGGAAUCACAAAUCCUAAGUCGGUAGAAUCUUAAUUAUAUAUAACCCUAACGUAUACACUUAGCAAUCAUAUAUUACCAGCAAGAGUCCUUAGUUUCUACAUGAAUGAUGUGAUUAACUCGGGUGAGAAAGCAACUGGGGAGUACAUUUGGAAUAUCGAUAAAUAGUAAUGUACUUACGUGGUGCAUGAUCCCUGGCUGGUCCUUCUACAUUUCCUUCGUGUAUACAAGUUGUAUAUAAUCAAGAUCGAAGAGACUGUCGAAUAAGUGAUUCUACCCUAAGCCCACAACCAAACAAGGAACAGGAAGUAAAGCGGAAUCACGAAUACUAAGUCUGUAGAAUCUUAAUUAUAUACAACCCUAACGUAUACAUUUAGCAAUCGUAUAUUACUAGCAAGGGUCCUUAGUUUCUAUGUGAAUGGCAUGACUAACUAGGGUGAUAAGGUAACUAGCAAGUACUUUUUGUUAUAGCUACUGUGUAGGUUUCAUUAAGUUUCCGAAAUUUUAUAUUAUGUCACAUGUUGAAACCUAUGGUCGAUAAAGAUUUAAUUGGCACUAGUAUUAGUAAAUACCUAGGUCUAAACAUUGUUGUUAUGAAACGUACCAAUAACCACAGGUGGUUCUGGAAGAGCCUCUUCUGCUGUGAUCAUAAAUACCCUUCCAUUGCCACCUUGGUUCUUUAGUUGUGGGAAGUCCUUCCUAAAAUUCCCUGGUUGAUUGCACUCGUAACAGUUACGACUUCCUUCUGCCGUAGUGGUUGGGGUUCUUCUAUAGUACCUCGAGAUGUGACCUCUCAUGUUACACUUGUUGCAGAUCACCUCCCUGCAAUUUCCGACAUGGUGGAAAUUGCACUUUGUACAAUGAGGUAAAGUCCCAGAGUAGGACUUAGUUGGUGUGGGAGUAUUGGUAACUGUGGCGUAGACAGCUAACAGUUCUGGUUCAAACUUGUGAUGCAUGGAGUCCUCCUUUGUUUCCCCAUGAAACUAUCUUUUGGUGCCUCCAGUGUGCUUCUUCUCUGCUGGUGGGGUUAUGGUACCCUGCCGGACACACUGUUUAGUCAACUGAUAGGCUAAUUGCUUAUCACUAUCGAAAGUGGAGGGUUUGGAUGCCGUCACCAGACCUUGAACAGGUGAAGCUAGUCCCCAGAUGUACAUAGUCCCCAGAUGUACCUUUCGAUCUUUCCUGUCUUUCGGGGUCACAAUUCCUUGGCAAAGGGUUGCAAGGUCAUUGAAUCGAGAGGUGUAGGCAGCUACUUCUGAACAUUUCAUGACAAGGUUACAAAGCUCUUGCUCUAGAUCCUGUAUCUCCUGUCGGGGACAAUACUCCUUGGUCAUUAGUUGCUUCAGGGAUUCCCAACCCAUGGCAAAAGCUUCAGCGAUUCCCAUGGACUUCGCAUGGUUAUUCCACCAAGGCAAGGCGGAGUCCAUCAACGUGCAGGUAGCGUAUUUAACCCUACAGUCAUCAGGGCAAGCACUCAUGUGGAAGACAGCCUUAGUCUUUUCUAUCCAACGGGAUAGCCCAACAGCUCCUUCAGUGUCGUACAAGCCUCGAGGUUUGCAGCUCAUGAAAUCCUUAUAGGAGCAGUGUCUGGUGUUGCUUAGGUGAGUUGUGAGAUUGCCACUUCCACUAUUUCCAGUGUUUCCGUUUCGGGCUACCUCGUAUGCUGCCAAAGUCGUAGCAAUUCCUUGUGUGAGCAUGUUCUGCAUCAUGGUGGAAUUCAUUUGGAAUGUUUGGUUUACAUUUAUUACUUCUGGGUCUCCUCCCUGGUUUGGAGUUUCCACUGAUGUUUGAGUUACUAGUGGGGUUCUCCUCGGGUUGCCUCGGGGAGUUGGCGGUAGACGAACUCCUGGUUGCUUUCGUGGGGCCAUCUCCUAAUAUGUUUAAAACGGACAUGUUAAGUUGUGUUAAUACUAUAAAGUCCUAACAAGUAUGCAUGGGAAGCAUUUUAUGAUAUAGUUUGCUUGUGAAAUCCUACAAAUUAUAAGAAUAAAGGAUUGACUUAGAAAUCCUUUAGAUUUCCUAAUGAUACGGAGAAGGUGAUUGGUUUAGAAAUCCUCUAGAUUUCUAAAUGAUAGACAAGGGACCUUAAUUGCUAAUGAAUUGUAAGUGUUUUAAAAUGUAUGUAUAGAUUCUAAGGUACUAGGUUGCUGUAGCAAAUAUGGAGAACAUCCUUCAAUCUCUAAAACCUUCAACCGUUAUAGUCUGUCAGACUCCUUGCUCAGGGUUGAUAGUGUACCGGCCUAACCAUAAACAACAUAGGUGCGCAUGCCAGAUUUAUUUAUGGUAUGACUUAUGUACGGUACUAACCCUAAUUGAGGCGUCUGACGUAAAGGGUUGAGUUGGUAGUUUUAGUUGAAGGGAUAGUAAAAUUUUAUUAAGUGUUCUCAUCGCGGGUCAGAUUAUAAAUAAACUCUUAAAUAUUUUGGUCGGUGGGGUUUAUAGUAUUAUUAAUUUUUGUUUGUUCUUCUCGACUACCGAGCACAGACGAUUACCGGACAUGAAACGACAUAAGUAGCUGAGAAGUAGUGUUAUUAAUAAUAAUACUUUUAUUAGAAGCUAGUAUGCUAUAGUUGUAUUCCUGUUUCAAGGAUACGAGUUCUCUAUAGCCAAUUUGGCUCUGAUACCAUUUUGUCACACCCUCGGCCAAGGCGGAACACGCCGGAAGCGGGACUAAGUUCAUGGAUCACAGAUAAAAUGAAUAUAUAGCAUAAGUACAAUGAUAAACAAAAUAGCAUUUGUAUUCCAUCAGUAAUUUUGAAUAUAGGGUUCUUACAGAUAAUAAUGGUUCAGUAGUUGCCUUUAACAAAUAAGAAAAUAACAGGAACAAGCUAGCUAGGUCGUCUGCAAUCCACGACUAAUCUUCUUCCUAAAAGCCUGUCUGAUGAUCCGCUAUGAAUACAUGUAAGUUUGAAAGUCAACACAAAGGUUGGUGAGUGUCACAGGUUUUCUGCUAACGCAGUAAUACAUUUAGUAAGUCUAAAAAGUAUUAUCUUUGUAUGUAUAACAAUAGUUAAACAAUGUUUGCAAUGAGUCCUUAAAAGCCAAAAUGUAUAGUUUGUAGAAGUAAACCCAUACGUAAAACUGUGUUUGUAAUGAAUCUUUGAAGCCAAAACGUUAUGUUCCAUAAGUAAUUCCAUACUUAAAAUUGUGUUUGAAAGCAACCAAAUCCAUGGUUGUAUGGGUAACGAAUAAAGUUUUAUGCCAAGGUUGUACUUCAUAACCGCAGAUACGGAUAAAUAAAUAUACGGAUAUACAGAUAUAGUUAUCUGCCAAGGUUGAACUUAACAACCGUAGAUACGGAUAAACAACAAGUAUAUUUGAUAAGCAUACACAUAAAGUGUACGAUACUAGUUUAAACAGUUGAAAAAACUUAGUAUAGUGUACAGAAGCACAUGUAUGAGCCUAAGAUACAAGUUCUAUAACUUGUAUAAACGUAUAAACCAAUAUAUUUUUGUCAUAAACAGACAUACGGAUAUACGGAUAAAGCUAUCUGCCAAGGUUGAUAUUAACAACCGCAGAUACGGAUAAACAGGUAAUUGACAAGUAUAUUUGAUAAGCGUACACAUUGAUGAGUACAAUACUUGUUUUAAACAACUUAUUCAACUUUGAGUACAAGCACAUAAAUGAGCCUAAGAUACGAGUUCUAUAACUCGUAAGAAUAUAUAAACUUAUAUAUUUUUGUGUAUGUAUGAGGUAUAAUGAAACUACCAAGUUGAUAACCGGCUAUAGUGUCAUAGCACAAUUUUAGUCGGAACGUAUAUGUUAUUUUUAUUAGUUGUAUUAUCUUAACAACAUAACAUAUGUAGCUAUUGAGGUUUAAAACGAUUUUGUUUACUUAACAUGUAAGCGUUUAAAUAAUUAUUUCUAAAACCGAUAAAGUAUUUACACAAAACAAUGAUAUUUUUUUGUUUGUGAAUUUCGUAUGAUAAAUAUUACUUAGUACACGUACUAUCAUGUACAUACGAGGGCCAAACAUGAAACACCGAGGACAGUACCAUUUUGGCAUUAUAGCACUUCUGAAAUGCAGCAACCCAUUCGGCCCUUCAAACCAGAUUCCCCGUACCGUAAGUAGUAGAGUAAUAAAUAAUAUUUUUGUGUGAUUUAUAUUGCAUAAAAAAACGGUGGUGUUGUUUGUUUAAACAAAGUAUUUAGAAAAUAGAUAUAUACUAGAUAUACAAGUACUACAUGUAUUCUCAGCCGAAAAUAUGUAAAAAUGGGGCCGUAACACUCACCUUAAACUGCCAUUAAAGAUUGGUUUUCGAGAACGGAUGCGAGCAAACCGAGAUGUAUUGUCGUGAACACGGAACUCCAAGAUAAUUUUAGUUUCCUAGAAAAUUUCAAUAUAAAUUAAUAUUUGGAAAGUUAUUUGGUAUUUUAUCUAAAAUAUAAGACCCAUUUAUUAAUUUAAUUAAACUAAAACAAAUUAGUAAUUUCCAAAAUGAGUCAAAAUAAAUUAUUUAAAUUCUAUGUUUGAUUUUGGAUUUAUUUUGUAAAGGUUUUUCCAUAUAGGGGUGGUUUUUGAACAAUUUUAUUAAAGUUAGAAGGUUUUGGACUUGAUAUGUAAAGAAAAUCCAAGAGAGGGUGAUAAGUAAUUAAUUUAAAUGAGAGUUUGAUGGGGGGCUGCUUUGUUAAAACUCUUAUAAUUUAAAGGAUUUUUUUAAUUAUUCUAACUAUGGGAAGGGACUAAACGCGUUUAAAAUAAUAAAGUUUGUACAGUAACUUGCACGUUUACGUACACAUGAGGGCAUACCUCCUGUGUUCUUCAUUUACGAUCGCAAGAAAGAAAAAAAUGCGUAGAUGAUCCUGUAACUAUCGGUAAUGCAUGAGGAUGUAUGAACCAAGCAAGAAGAUGGGAGGAUGGAUGACUUACAGAUGAAGAAUAGCAGCACAACACAUGUGGUGACUGGUGGUUCACUGCAAUGGCAGUGUAGGUGCUCGGUGGUGAUAACAGGUAGCCGACAGCAUCCUGCUGCCGGUUUUCCUUUUUUUUCCGGUAAAUUCAAAGGCUGGGGGAGGUGGAGGAAGGUUAGAGAAGAGUUUCUUCGAGUUUACAGCAGGUAAUGGUGAGGUUUUGAAGAUGGAAUAAGGGUGGUGCAGCGGUAUACCGUGAGAUAGAGAUAGAGAGUGUUUUAGAGAGAGAUAUGGAGAUCUUAGAGAUGGAGAAGAAAGCCGGAGGUUGGGGUGUGAUUUUUGGAGGUGGUCUAAGCUUCCUUUUAUAGCCAAGAAUGCCCACACACAACACAAAUAAGCCAUACUUCCAAAUCAUCAUGUACUCUCUUGGUGAAACUUGCACACAAAGAAGGAGAGGGGGAGAAGAUAUAGUCACGUGGAAUGAUACAAGGAAGCGAAAUAUCAGAUUUUUGGGCUCUUAAGUCAUAUGUCGGCCCCACAUGGGUUAUUCUCUUUUUUAAUUGCCCAAAACAUUGAAAACCGGGUGCCUCGGGAUCCGUAUAUUGAGAAAAAUUUUCGAGAGCACCGUUAGAUAGAGUUUAAUUCAAGGAUUUCGGAACAUCAAACGGAUUAAUUUUUGGAGUUACGGAUUUCCGGGAAAUUGCGUUUGAAGUUUUACGUCUAAACGGCUUGCGGUGUCCGUUUUCAAGACUUUUGUAAAUAUUUUUGCUAAAAAUGUUUCGAGCAUGAAAUAAAAUAAUAGACUAUAACCUAAGUCCAAAAAGGUUAACGGAAAUCCCGUCGGCAAAACGUAACCUCAACGGAUCAAUUCAGUUUUAUCUGAUUAAAGAAAAAAAACAGUGUUUUACCACUUUUUUUCUUAAAACUGUCGUAUCUUUUGCAUACAAACUCUGUUUUGGACGUUCUUUAUAUUUUUGGAAACAGGUAAACACGUACUGUAAUAUUUUCAUGUUUCUUUUGCUCAAAACUGCUUAAUAUAAAAUUUCAGUUUUUCUAAUGCAUUAAUUAGCGUUUUCGUUUAAGCGGUUUGAUUCGGUUGACGGUUUACCCAUUUGGACGUAAGGUAUCAUCUGAUAUCAUGUAAUAAUUGAAAUAUAAUUAUUUAUUUUUCCUUAGAUGCACUAAAACUCAGUAAUUCUGAUACACAAGAGAUUCACAGAUAGAUUGUCGGUUAUAAUAAUAGCCCUAAAUUUCAGGUUGUCACAAUAGAAACUUGGAAUCAUACACCUUGUAUUGUAUGAUGAAUGAGAACCUUCAUAUCUAGAAAACUUAAGACUAAUUCCUUGACAAAGAAUCAAGUGAAGGACUGGGAGAACUGGUACACAAUGUUGUGCACUGGUCAAGUCCACCACAAAGAACGAUAAAAUUAUUCGUUAUGAUUUACUAAAAGUCUAGUAAAUGUGGUUAUGCUUAUAAGAUUAAGUGUGAUUCUAAAUCAUUGAAAAGUUUCAAUGUAUGACAGAACGAAUAAGAAGAAUCAAUUAGGCAGAAAGAUAAAAGUUUCUCCAAUCUAAGAAGAAGGGUGAGUACUUUUGUAUCGGGUUUUAUGAUCGUCUUGUUGAUUAUGAAACCAUAUCACAAUUAAUCAUCUAAGGACAUCUUAGUGCACUAGUAUGGCUAAGAAGAGGAAUUGAAAAUUGUUGAAAUGGUUAAAAGGAUGAGUCAUACUUCGUUCCAAAAAUCAAGUUUUAGAGUCGUACUCCAAGAUUGUGAAUUGAGUGACACGUCUUAAGAAGUUCUAGCACACUCAUCAAAUGUGAAGUAGAAAAUUGUUUUUUUACUCUUGCACGUUUCAAAUUGGUAAAUUGUGAUGUAUUGAUUAAGACAAAAGACCAACAAAUGCCAAUUGUGUGUAGUGUUUGUCUUGAUAAGAAUCCACACUAACUCUUGAAUGUUUGUUUGUCAAGAAAUGUUUUUUUGACAAAAGAAUCUUAUAUGUCAAGAGGUCAGUGGGAGUCUAAAUGAUCUUGAAAAGUUUCAAGACAUAAUCAAGAGUAAACCUAUUAUUAAACACUAGCACACGACUUGGGUUUGUAACCUAUCGUGUUGACGUAUUCUUGUUUCUGUGCCAAUCCAGUUGAAGUGAUUAUGCAUAUGUGUUCUACGAGUUCUCAAUAGACUGCAUAUGGCAAGCACCUUGUUCAAUGAAAGUACAUUGACUAAUAAUAUCUUGGAAGCAGUGGUGGGACCCUUGAUGGCAAGAAAUCAAGAAUGAACAAGUUCUGUCCAUUGGAGUUUGGAUUUGUCACAAACAUUAUCCUACGAUUAUGGUUAUGGCAAAUUCACAUGGAUAUGAGCAUAUACACUAUAAAAUCUAAGUGUCAUAAGGUUUAUCUCCUUCAUGAAAAUGAUUGUGAGGAAACGCUUUCACUAAGAGAGAUUUUAAGAAGAUAUCAAUUGUGUGGAUUGCAUGCUCAAAUUCGAUUAUAAUUACGGCAUCCCUCUUGAUAGUUCGAAUUGUGAGAUUUGGCGAUUAGUCUGAACAUUUUGGGACUUAGUAAUAUAAGUUAUGAAUCAGUUUAGACACACAUGUGAGUAAUCUAAGGAGAGGUGUAUAAGUUUGAGAUGCUCAGAUAAAGGCUUAUCAAAGCAUAUUGUAUUAGGAAAAUGAACUUUGGAAAUUAAUAAGUAUUGUUUUCUAAGAAGUUUAGUUGAGUUCUGAGCUAGUGGGAGCAUAAAUGUUAUGUUGGAAUGGAUAUAAUCAUCAUGUUAGUGGGAGCAUGAUUAUUAUUUUGCAAGUUAGUAAUAUUAAUUAUGUAGAAAACAAAAGGUUUCACUUUGCAAAGUUGCAGGGGUUGAAAAGUUGUUUCGCUAUAAUUAAGGGAGAGAAUGAUAUACUUUGUUUCGAAAUCUAAAAGCUUAGAUCGAGAAAUUUUAUUCAAUUUUAGUCGAGGAUAUAUUAAUUGCAUCCUCAAAUUUCGAUUAUGAUUACAAAAUCCCUCUUCAUAGUUCGAAUUUUGAGAAUGUGGCAAAUAGAAAUAUUAUAGCAAAUGGCUGAUAAAGUAUCAUGUUUUAUGUAAGACAUUAUGAAUUGUGUCCCAUACGCUUCUAGUAUAGGAUCGAUUGCAUAUGUUGUAAUAUUUAACCGUUCUAAAAUUUUCCAAAUGCCUAGGGAAUUAAGAAGGAAAAAGGACUAGAACCAUAAUUGACUAAAAUAAUUAAACAACUGUCAAGGACAGUCCAAGGUUUGCCAAUGAUUGGUCGCUUGUGGACAGUUGGAAGUAUACUAAUGGAUGGACCAUAUUCGCUUUAUUAUGAAUAGAUAAGACUCUAUUUAGAAUGAGUUGUCAUAUGGUAAAUAUGGAAAUGUUUCCAUAUUGGGAGUUGGGCGUUAAAAAUUGAUGUCUAGAUUAGAAACUUUUAUAAAAGAAGGAUGUUCAAAGGAAUGUACUUUGAAUGUGAGACUUCACAUCUAUGGAAUUGUCUUGUAAGAAUCUCCAAUAGAGCAUUUUGUAAUUUCAUUGGCCGAAUCUUUGUGACUUUUGUGUCGUGACAUUACGAAAGGACCGUUGCAUAAAAUGUUAGAAUCUAACAUAUUCUAGUAGUGGCGAGAAUUUUGUAUUCUUACACUAAUAAUUAGAAAUUGUGAAAUGAGCAUCAUUGUAAAUGUGUUUACUUGAUCUAUUUCACAAAGUAAGAACCAUAGGUAAACAUAGUGUGCAUGUUUGGAGCAUGGGACAACUAUUGUUAUAAUUCAAGUAAGAAGUUGAUUACCCGAAACAAAAAAUAAUGAGUAAUCAAUAUGGUGAUUAAAUAAAAGUGUUUUAUUUAUACUCAAAGGUUUGAGGCCAUAUAAUAUUAGUAUUAUUCUUGUGUUUCACUUUGCAUCUUUUGACUUCCCGAAUAAUUAGAUUAUUUAAACCAUCGACAGUCGCUAAUGCUUUGGAAGUAGGUAAGAAAGAAGGCUGUCAUGAAAUGGCUUGCAGAUUGUCUAAAGUGUAUUAGACAUAGCAAAAGUUUGAUGCGACAUUCAUGAGUACUUAUGAAUUAUUAUUUGAGUAUUGGAUUAAACCCACGCUCACUUGAAUCACUACAUAGAUUUUAUCAUGGGUCAUUAGUGAGACGAUAAUAUCUUAUAUUCUUGAAAUCGAUAUGUGUGAGUUGUAUUCUGUAAGUCUGUUGCUCAUUCAUAAUAUGUAAACGCACCAGUAACUUGGUGUUAUAAAACAUAUUGUUGUGCAUAAUUUGAUGAGUAUGUAUAAGUGAGCAUUUGAGUCGAAGUUUAUCCGUUCCUUUUCCCAAAGUGGGAUAAAAGCGAUAUCUGUGGGCCCCUCGAUGGUUUAGUGAUGACACCCUAAGCGCUUGGCCAAGCCAAGACUAAGUUGAUGUGUUCAAUUGUAGUCUGUUGUCAGUCGUCGUAAAUUAGAAAUCGUGAAACAACACAUAGACUGAGAGAUUGAUUAUAAUCCGUCUAUCAUGUCUAUACGAUAUAUAGAAUGGAGGAAUAUAUGAUCCCUUAUCUAAAGGACAUGUUGCUGAUAAGACCAGAGUUCGACAGCGUCUUUGAGAGCUACGAUUGUUAAUCGGUUAAAACUUUCAUUUAUAGUUACUAGACUUAUCCAAGUGGGACACUGUUAGAUUAGUGUCUAAGCCCAUAACUAUAUUGGUAACUGUUUGACCCAGUUGUGCAUGGUCCUUUUGGGUCGCGUUCACCAAAGCAACUAGAUAGGAUGAUUUAUGGAGAGAGAGAGAGAGGUUAUUAUAGAUUAUUAAUAUAUUAUAUGAAUAAUAUAUUAAAGGAGAAAUCAUAUUGUUUAAUUAAUAUUAGACAUGAGUUAAUUAAGAAUUAAUUAUGUGGCUAAAAGACAUUAAUUAAAUAAAGGGGACUAGAACUGUCAAUUGUGUGAUAGUUGAAUAUUGGGCUAAUGGACUCCAUAGAAGUUGGAGUUGAUGAAAUCUAUGGGGAAACCCAUUAGAAUUCAUCCAAGGCCUCUAAGUACGGAGUCCAUGGGCUGCUUAGGGCCUAAGCAGUCAAAUUAGGGUUUCCUAGUUCAAACCCCUAAUAACCUCACUAUAUAAGGAACCCCUAAGGCCCCAACAACGUGUGGAAGUAAUCCCUAAGGGUUCUUAGUCGUUUUUGGUUCUCCUCCUUCCUCUCAUAAGUCAUUCUCUUGCUUGUGGUGUUUGUAAGCCGUUAGAGGAGUGACACUUGUGACUCUAAGCUCCAAAGACAAGAAGAUUCAAGCCAUUGAAGAAGAGGUAAUCAUCUAGAUCUUUUUUCUUAUGUCUAUUUCGAAAUAUAUCACUAGAUCUAUGUUUCAUAAGUCUUGGAUGAAUUCCAUGUAGAAUAGAGAAACCUAGAUCCAAGGUUUAGCGUUUGCAUGAGCACAUAGGAUGUUCUUUUGUAUAAAACCCAUCAGUUAUCGUCUUGCGAUCACUCGUGAUAAAUUCCAUGAAGUGAUGCCAGCAAGCGCGGGAUUCAUCCAAUGCUCAAAUCAUAGAGUAAAUUACACGAAUGGUCCCUAUGGUUUAGGGUAAUUUGCACGUUUGGUCCCUAACUUAUUUUUUUAACUCGGAAGGUCCCUACUGUUUGCUUCUGUUACGCGCUUGGUCCUUGUCUUACCUAAAAAGUCUAUUUUACCCUUGAUUUUUUAAUUUAUUUAUAUAAACACACCCCGACCCUCACCUUAUCUUACAUACCCCACCAUUUUUCCUAUUUAAAUAGCAGUCUUUUUAGGUAAGAAAGGGACCAAACGCGUAACAAAAACAACCAGUAGGGACCAACUCUAUAACAAAAACAAACAGUAGGGACCUUCCGAGUUUAAAAAAUAAGUUAGGGACCCAACGCGCAAAUUACUCCAAACCAUAGGGACCAUUCUUCUAAUUUACUCCAAAUCAUAUUCAUAAGCACUCAUAAACGUUGCAGCAAACCUUUGCUAUGUCUAAUACACUUUAGACAAUCUACAAACCAAUGCAUGACAAUCUUCAUUCAUACAUACUCCCAAAGUAUGAGCGACUGUGGAACGUUCGAAUAAUCUUAUUAUUCAGGAAGUCAAAACAUGCAAAGUGAAACAAUAGGUAAACAAUUAACAUAAGACAAUAACUUUACUUAUAAAUAAUACUCCUUUAUUUAAUCGUCAAAUGUCAAUUACAUUUAUCCAUUACAUGUUUCGAAGCUAUCUAAUCUAAACUAAUAUCAUCCUUCAGCCCGAUGCUCCAAGCGUGUUGAUAGUGCUUAACCCUACUCAGUCCCUUCAUAAGGGGAUCUACUGGGUUAUCCUCUGACGAUACCCUCUUCACUACGAGGAUUCCCUCUUCCAGCCGAUGUCGAAUAAAAUGAUAUUUCCUGUCAAUAUUUCGAGAUCUACCAUGAUACCUCGGUACCUUGGUCAAGGCAUCCGCUCCUUCAUUAUCACAGUAAAUUUCCAUGGGCUCCUUUAUGUUUGACACAACACCAAGGUCUCCGAUGAAGUUCUUCAACCAUAUCACUAUAUACUCUAAUUUUCACGUUGAAUCAACUACGGUUUCCUGCUUAGAACUUUUCCAAGUCACUAAUCCUCCAUUUAGGGUAAAGACCCAGCCUGACUGCAAACGGUAGUUGUCCCUGUCGGUCUGAAAACUGGCGUCACUAUACCCUCGCACCCUGAAGUCAUCACUCCCACCAAGGACUAGAAACCAUUCCUUGGUCCUCUGAAGGUACUUAAAAAUAUUCUUGAUUGCGGUCCAAUGUGCUUUGCCAGGGUUCCCUUGAUAUUUUUUGACCAUGCUUAAAGCGAAGGCCACAUUAGGGCGAGUACAAGUCAUCGCAUACAUGAUCGAGCCAACUGCAGAAGCGUAAGGUACUAAGCUCAUCUCUGCUAUCUCGACUUCAGUACUCAGACUUUGAGUCUUACUCAACUUGGCAUUUCUUUGGUUCGGUAACUCCCCUUUCUUGGAAUUCUCCAUAAUAUUGACCAUGCUCAAAGCGAAGGUCACAUCUGGGCGAGUACAAGUCAUAGCAUACAUGAUUGAGCCAACUGUGGAAGCAUAAGGUACUUGGCUCAUCUUUGCUAUCUCAACUUCGGUACUCGGGCUCUGAGUCUUACUCAACCUGGCAUUGCUUUUGGAUCGGUAACUCCCCUUUCUUGGAAUUCUCCAUACUAAAAUGUUUCAGUACCUUGUCCAAGUAAGUAUUCUGGCUAAGUCCUAUCAGACUUUUACUCCUGUUUCUCACUAUCCUUAUUCCCAAAAUAUAGGCAGCUUCUACGAGGUCCUUCAUAGAGAAAAACUUCCCAAGCGAGGACUUAAUUUCCUGCAACGUCGGUACGUCGUUUCCUAUGAGUAGUAUGUCAUCUACAUACAAUAUGAGGAAGCUAACUAUACUCCCACUGGCUUUGACAUAUACACAUGAUUCAUCCUCUCUUUGCAGAAAACCAAAAUCUUUGACUUUCUCAUCGAAACAAAGAUUCCAUUGGUGAGACGCUUGUUUCAAUCCAUAGAUGGACUUCUCAAGCUUACACACUCUAUUUUGGUGCUUUGCAUCGACAAAACCCUCUGGCUGACUCAUGUAAACAUCCCCAGCCAACUUUCUAUUAAGGAAAGCAGUUUUAACAUCCAUCUGCCAUAUCUCAUAGUCAUGAAAUGCGGAAAUGGCUAGCAUCACCCUAAUAGACAUUAUCUUCGUAACUGGUGAGAAGGUCACAUCAUAGUUAACUUCAGGAGUUUGAGUAAAGCCCUUCGCAACCAAUCGCGCCUUAUAGGUGUGUACCUUCCCAUCCAUGUCGGUCUUCUUCUUGAAGAUCCACUUGCACCCGACCGUCUUACGACCUGGCACAUUGUCAACCAAAUUCCAAACUUGGUUGUCAUACAUGGACUGAAUCUUGCUUUCAAUAGCCUCUUUCCAUUUCGUAGACUCCGGGCCUGGCACGGCUUACUUGUAGCUAUUAUGUGUUGGAUUAAUGUCUAAGUCCAUAACUAUAAUUGGUAAGACUUGACCCGACACAACAUGGUCCAUUUGGGUUGCAUGGCAUCAUGCAGUUGGAUACACUAAAUGAGGAAUAAGACACUUAUGGUUAUUAAUAUAGUAUAAGUUCUUGUAUAUUAAUAAUAAUAAUAAUAUUUAAUUAGUAUUGAUCAAGAAUUAAUUUAGAAUUAAUUAUGUGAUCAAAAGAAGACUAAUUAAAUAUAUGGGUUGAUUGUGCAAAUCAUCCAUAACUUAUAUAAUGGGCCAAAGCUCCAUGGAUAAUCAAGUUGGGUUAAACCCAUAGGAUGCUCCAUGGAUGCUCCAUGGAGGUUACAUAACCCAUGGGUCAUGGAAAUGAAAGGUCAUAACAAUUAGGGUUUACAUGGUGUAACCCUAAUUGUAACACACUAUAUAAGCAUCAUAUUAUUCACCAAAAUCGGCCAUUAGUGUGUGUAAAAGAAGGGCUAGCCGAUUUCAUGAGUUGUGGAUUUCUCUCAAGUUAUUCCAAGUGUAUUUGGUGUUGUGUGAACCAUUUGAGGUGUCACACUUAAGGCACUAGGCACUCAAGCUUCAUGAAGACAUUCUACAUCAAAGAGGUAUGUAUUCUAUCUUGUUAUAUUCAUGAUUUUGUAUGCUAGAUCAGGAUAAUACCUUGGAUGUUCAUAAUUUCAUGUAUAAUAGAGAAAACACAGAUCCAAGCCAUUUAGAAUUGCAUGUACACUUAGGAGUGUUAGAAUGCUCAAAACCCAACAGUGGUAUUAAAGACUAGGCUUGUUUUCUUGUUAUACUUGCAAAACUACUUUAAAAAUCGAAGUUUUUGCUGUCUGGGCAUCAGACUCGGUGAGUCCAUGCCUAAAAAGUGAUCAAAACGAUCCAAAUCACCGAGUUGGUUCAUGCACUCAACGAGUUGGACCCCCAGACAGCAUAAAUUCGACUUUUUUUGGCUGGAAUUGAACUAGGAACAUUACCCUAAGAUGUUUUUGGACUUAUAAACUUGUUUUUGAUGUGGUAAUGUUCAUGCUAAUCCAAUUUUAAAGAUAACGGUCAAUAGAUUCAUGUUUUGUAUUAGUUUAAGGUUUAGAUUAAUUACAUGAAGAAGCUUGAUUUGAAUUAUCUUGUUCUUAUGAGUUGCUUAGAUUAAUCGGAAGUUAUGUGAAAUAGUUGUUUUCAAUACAAAUUAAUCUAAGAGUUGAUUCUAAAAUGUGUUUUGGUAACUUGUCCUCAACUUAUAUGAAAAGUCACAUUUAAGUUUCAUAAAACUCAUAAAAGUUGGCAAUGGUUACAAAAAAAGGAAGAGUCUUGUCCUCAAGUUAUGGAGGUUCAAGAGUCACUUCAUUAAGUAAUAAAAUGUGUAACCUUAAUUAAUUCCAUAAGUUAUAAAAUAAAGAAAAGUUAAUUCUUUUAUUAGUUUAAAGUUUUCCAUAACUUGUCCUCAAGUU